Molecule: ribosomal RNA, 465 nt
Filed under: uncultured Klebsiella sp.
Lineage: Bacteria; Pseudomonadati; Pseudomonadota; Gammaproteobacteria; Enterobacterales; Enterobacteriaceae
Description: bacterial SSU rRNA
Rfam family: Bacterial small subunit ribosomal RNA
Source: RNAcentral
CCUACGGGCGGCUGCAGUGGGGAAUAUUGCACAAUGGGCGCAAGCCUGAUGCAGCCAUGCCGCGUGUGUGAAGAAGGCCUUCGGGUUGUAAAGCACUUUCAGCGGGGAGGAAGGCGUUAAGGUUAAUAACCUUGGCGAUUGACGUUACCCGCAGAAGAAGCACCGGCUAACUCCGUGCCAGCAGCCGCGGUAAUACGGAGGGUGCAAGCGUUAAUCGGAAUUACUGGGCGUAAAGCGCACGCAGGCGGUCUGUCAAGUCGGAUGUGAAAUCCCCGGGCUCAACCUGGGAACUGCAUUCGAAACUGGCAGGCUAGAGUCUUGUAGAGGGGGGUAGAAUUCCAGGUGUAGCGGUGAAAUGCGUAGAGAUCUGGAGGAAUACCGGUGACGAAGGCGGCCCCCUGGACAAAGACUGACGCUCAGGUGCGAAAGCGUGGGGAGCAAACAGGAUUAGAUACCCUUGUAGUC